Molecule: ribosomal RNA, 1828 nt
Filed under: Streptomyces flavovirens
Lineage: Bacteria; Bacillati; Actinomycetota; Actinomycetes; Kitasatosporales; Streptomycetaceae
Also listed under: 1 other name
Description: partial 23S ribosomal RNA
Rfam family: Bacterial large subunit ribosomal RNA
Source: RNAcentral
UGGAUGGGUAGGGGAGCGUCGUGUGCCGGGUGAAGCAGCCGCGGAAGCGAGUUGUGGACGGUUCACGAGUGAGAAUGCAGGCAUGAGUAGCGAUACACACGUGAGAAACGUGUGCGCCGAUUGACUAAGGGUUCCUGGGUCAAGCUGAUCUGCCCAGGGUAAGUCGGGACCUAAGGCGAGGCCGACAGGCGUAGUCGAUGGACAACCGGUUGAUAUUCCGGUACCCGCUUUGAAACGCCCAGUACUGAAUCAGGCGAUGCUAAGUCCGUGAAGCCGGCCCGAUCUCUUCGGAGUUGAGGGUAGUGGUGGAGCCGAUGAACCAGACUUGUAGUAGGUAAGCGAUGGGGUGACGCAGGAAGGUAGUCCAGCCCGGGCGGUGGUUGUCCCGGGGUAAGGGUGUAGGACGCACGGUAGGCAAAUCCGUCGUGCAUAUAGUCUGAGACCUGAUGCCGAGCCGAUUGUGGUGAAGUGGAUGAUCCUAUGCUGUCGAGAAAAGCCUCUAGCGAGUUUCAUGGCGGCCCGUACCCUAAACCGACUCAGGUAGUCAGGUAGAGAAUACCGAGGCGUUCGGGUGAACUAUGGUUAAGGAACUCGGCAAAAUGCCCCCGUAACUUCGGGAGAAGGGGGGCCAUCACUGGUGAGGGGACUUGCUUCCUGAGCUGGGGGUGGCCGCAGAGACCAGCGAGAAGCGACUGUUUACUAAAAACACAGGUCCGUGCGAAGCCGUAAGGCGAUGUAUACGGACUGACGCCUGCCCGGUGCUGGAACGUUAAGGGGACCGGUUAGUGCACUUUCGGGUGUGCGAAGCUGAGAACUUAAGCGCCAGUAAACGGCGGUGGUAACUAUAACCAUCCUAAGGUAGCGAAAUUCCUUGUCGGGUAAGUUCCGACCUGCACGAAUGGCGUAACGACUUCUCGACUGUCUCAACCAUAGGCCCGGUGAAAUUGCACUACGAGUAAAGAUGCUCGUUUCGCGCAGCAGGACGGAAAGACCCCGGGACCUUUACUAUAGUUUGAUAUUGGUGUUCGGUUCGGCUUGUGUAGGAUAGGUGGGAGACUUUGAAGCAGCCACGCCAGUGGUUGUGGAGUCGCCGUUGAAAUACCACUCUGGUCGUGCUGGAUGUCUAACCUGGGUCCGUGAUCCGGAUCAGGGACAGUGUCUGAUGGGUAGUUUAACUGGGGCGGUUGCCUCCUAAAGAGUAACGGAGGCGCCCAAAGGUUCCCUCAGCCUGGUUGGCAAUCAGGUGUUGAGUGUAAGUGCACAAGGGAGCUUGACUGUGAGACCGACGGGUCGAGCAGGGACGAAAGUCGGGACUAGUGAUCCGGCAGUGGCUUGUGGAAGCGCUGUCGCUCAACGGAUAAAAGGUACCCCGGGGAUAACAGGCUGAUCUUCCCCAAGAGUCCAUAUCGACGGGAUGGUUUGGCACCUCGAUGUCGGCUCGUCGCAUCCUGGGGCUGGAGUCGGUCCCAAGGGUUGGGCUGUUCGCCCAUUAAAGCGGUACGCGAGCUGGGUUUAGAACGUCGUGAGACAGUUCGGUCCCUAUCCGCUGUGCGCGUAGGAAUAUUGAGAAGGGCUGUCCCUAGUACGAGAGGACCGGGACGGACGAACCUCUGGUGUGCCAGUUGUCCUGCCAAGGGCAUGGCUGGUUGGCUACGUUCGGAAAGGAUAACCGCUGAAAGCAUCUAAGCGGGAAGCCUGCUUCGAGAUGAGUAUUCCCACCACCUUGAGUGGUUAAGGCUCCCAGUAGACGACUGGGUUGAUAGGCCAGAUGUGGAAGCCCGGUAACGGGUGGAGCUGACUGGUACUAAUAGGCCGAGGGCUUGUCCUC